GCGGGGUUAGCUCAGCUGGGAGAGCGUCAGACUGAAGUCCAACUUCAGGAUCACCAAUCAUCAAAUCUGAAGGCCGUGCGUUCGAUCCGCACACACCGCA
Rostrohypoxylon terebratum is the source of this 100-nucleotide non-coding RNA. The record is from the annotation of a GenBank genome assembly. NCBI's taxonomy places the organism in Eukaryota, Fungi, Ascomycota, Sordariomycetes, Xylariales, Hypoxylaceae.